RNAcentral lists this ribosomal RNA (475 nucleotides) under uncultured bacterium. RNAcentral's name for it is "bacterial SSU rRNA". It matches the Rfam family "Bacterial small subunit ribosomal RNA", at positions 8 to 526 of the family's 1533-position model. The record is from RNAcentral.
AGAGUUUGAUCAUGGCUCAGGAUGAACGCUGGCGGUAUGCUUAACACAUGCAAGUCGAACGGGAUCAUUCGUGGUCUAGUGGCGGACGGGUGAGUAACGCGUGAGAAUCUGCCCUUAGGUUGGGGACAACCACUGGAAACGGUGGCUAAUACCGAAUAAGCCGAGAGCUGAAAGAUUAAUUGCCUAGGGAGGAGCUCGCGUCUGAUUAGCUAGUUGGAGAGGUAAGAGCUCACCAAGGCGACGAUCAGUAACUGGUCUGAGAGGAUGAGCAGUCACACUGGGACUGAGACACGGCCCAGACUCCUACGGGAGGCAGCAGUGGGGAAUUUUCCGCAAUGGGCGAAAGCCUGACGGAGCAAUACCGCGUGAGGGAGGAAGGCUCUUGGGUUGUAAACCUCUUUUCUCAGGGAAGAAGAAUGACGGUACCUGAGGAAUAAGCAUCGGCGAAAUCCGUGCCAGCCGCCGCCGGUAAUUC